This 2253-nucleotide long non-coding RNA is filed under the name Homo sapiens (human). RNAcentral describes it as "PREDICTED lncRNA (TCONS_00254189)". Lineage: Eukaryota; Metazoa; Chordata; Mammalia; Primates; Hominidae. The record is from RNAcentral.
CACGUCCAGCUAGGAGGAGAUUCACACGGCUCCUCGGGCUUGCUGCAAUACCCUCUAGGAUCACCUGCCUCCCUUUGCCCUAAUUCUAGGUUCAUUAAAGCACCUUCUGUUCUGUGCUUCUGACCCACUUACUCCCACUGACUCACCUCCUGCCCCCUACCCUCCUCGGGACAAAGUAUCCUAUGCAGACAAGGUCGGGCCACGGCGCCCAGUGUGCAGCCCUCGGCAGUGAGUUAGGAGAUGGGCUGGCAGGUUAUGAUGACUCUCUUUUGAGCCAGGCUGCACUGUGGGCACUCAAAAACCAGAAGGGCAGAUAGAAAAAAAUAGUGGAUCCUCUGAAAGUGCCCAGAUGAGGAAGAGAGCCUGGGGCCAUGGGGAUGCGCAGAACAGCCUGUCUGUCUCUCUCAGUCAAUUCUGAUGACUCCUUGCACCCGUAGGGUGACAGCCAACUUCACAGGGAGGCCCAGAAGUCUGGACUGGGUACUCUGAAGUCCAGAUUGAGGACAGGACUUGCCUGAAGUCUCGCAGCAAGGUCUUGCUUUGUCACCCAGGCUGGAGUGCAAUGGUACAAUCACAGCUCACUGCAGCCUCCACCUCCCAGGCUUAAGCCAUCCUCCGAUCUGAGCCUCCCAAAGUGCUGGGAUUACAGGAGUGCGUCACUGUGCCCGGCCCCAUCAUCAUUUAUUGAGUACUGAUUCUGGGCAGGGGGACACACUAACUGCUGAAAGGACACCAGAUCUGAAUCCGUCCCUGUCCUCAAGAAGCUCCAGGCUUAGGGAGGGAUGAGACAUACGCGUGAGAAAGCUCAGACCCCAGUCACAACAGCCUGGGUGUGAAUCUCCACUCUGCAUUUCCUGCUGUGAGUCAUCAAGCAAACCACGCAACCUCUGAGCCUCUGCUAUGUCCUGCGUGCAAUGGGGAGAAGAGUCCCUACCCUGACAUCACACUUCCAAGGCACAGGCACUGUCUGUCCUGAGCACCUCAUUUCAGGCUCCAAGCUCAGGAAACGCUCGCUCGCUACUGGAGGAAUGUUACAUCUUGAAGCAGCCUUGGCUCUGUCUGGGGAGGAUGACGUCACAGCUGCUGAGGAAGAAACCACGCCCAGCCGGCAGAACCCCAGAGGGCCCACCCGAGAGCUCCAAAGAAGUAGGAGGAACCAGAGGUCACAUCGCUCAGGAGGAAGAAACCUGCAUUGGCCAAGAGAGGCAUCCUACAGAGAGGCCCAGUGAUGGCUAUACUGAGACCAGAGGUGUCAAAUUAAGAGUUGUACUGGCUUCUGUCGUGUGGAAACAGCUGUGCUCUGGUGGCAGGGGCAAUGCCCUUUGCCAGAGAAAACCUGGCCUGCCCCACCGCUUCCGGGCUGGUGACUUGGGCCUGUGGCUCGGCUUCCUUAAGGCUCAGUGUUUUUGUCUGAAAUUGAGAUGGGGCCGGGUGCGGUGGCUUAUGCCUGUAAUCCCAGCACUUUGGGUGACUGAGGCGGAAGGAUCGCUUGAGCUCAGGAGUUUGAGACCAGCCUGAGCAAUACAGUGAGACCCCAUCUCUACAAAAAAAUUUAAAAAUUUGCCGGGCAUGAUGGCGCAUGCCAGUGGUCCCAGCUACUCAGGAGAUGGAGGUGGGAGGAUCACUUGAGCCAGGGAGGUCCAGGCUGGAAUAAGCCAUGAUCACACCACUGGGCAACAGAGCAACUCUGUCUCAGAAAAAAAAAAAAAAAAAAAAACCCAAAACUGGAAAUGAUCAUAAUGGCUCCACUGGGGAGUUGGGAGGAUUCAAUGAGAUAUGGGGUACAGAGUCUUCUGGUGCACCCCGAAUAUAGGAAAUACUCCUCAUGCUUGCUGCAUGCUGGCAGGGGAGAAGUAAUAGGACACCUCUCUUCUGGCCACAGUGUGCCAGUUAAACAUGUUGCCCCUUGGUGACUCACUGUCUGGCUUCAAUCUGACCUUGCCGCAUGAUCUUUAGGCCCAUCAACCAGUUCCUCUGUGCCUCCGUGUCCUUAUUUCUAAGAGGGUAAUGAUGAUACUAUCUGCCUCCCAAGACUUAGGGGAGUUCAAUUCAUAUACGUGUAAAAUUUACAAGUGCCCAACACACAGUAAGCACUCAAUAAAUGUUAACUUUGCUAGUAGAAUGAAGUUUGCUUAAGAUUUUUUGGUAUUUGGAAUGGCUCAGACUAGAAUCCUGGAAUUAGAGAGAAAUAGCGUCCCUGGGGAAGUGGACCAGGAUUUCCUCAUUUAAAAAGAUUAGGGGCUGGGGGCCGGG